This 406-nucleotide ribosomal RNA is filed under the name uncultured bacterium. RNAcentral describes it as "partial 16S ribosomal RNA". It matches the Rfam family "Bacterial small subunit ribosomal RNA", at positions 29 to 526 of the family's 1533-position model. The record is from RNAcentral.
AUUGAACGCUGGCGGCAGGCCUAACACAUGCAAGUCGAACGAGUGGCGGACGGGUGAGUAAUGUCUGGGAAACUGACCGAUGGAGGGGGAUCACUACUGGAAACGGUAGCUAAUACCGCAUACCAUCGGAUGUGCCCAGAUGGGAUGAGCUAGUAGGUGGGGUAAAGGAUCACCUCGGAGACGAUGCCUCGCUGGUCUGAGAGGAUGACCAGCCACACUGGAACGGAGACACGGUCCAGACUCCUACGGGAGGCAGCAGUGGGGAAUAGUGCACAAUGGGCGCAAGCCUGAUGCAGCCAUGCCGCGUGUAUGAAGAAGGCCUUCGGGUUGUAAAGUACGUUCAGCGGGGAGGCGUUACCCGCAGAAGAAGCACCGGCUAACUCCGUGCCAGCAGCCGCGGUAAUAC